This 77-nucleotide transfer RNA is filed under the name Flavobacteriaceae bacterium. Its description in RNAcentral is "tRNA-Met". It matches the Rfam family "tRNA". Rfam says of the family: Transfer RNA (tRNA) molecules are approximately 80 nucleotides in length. RNAcentral also lists the same sequence under 1 other name. Lineage: Bacteria; Pseudomonadati; Bacteroidota; Flavobacteriia; Flavobacteriales; Flavobacteriaceae. The record is from RNAcentral.
GGUCCCAUAGCUCAGUUGGUUAGAGCAUCUGACUCAUAAUCAGAGGGUCACUGGUUCGAGCCCAGUUGGGACCACCC